CAAUAAGCGGAGGAAAAGAAACUANCAAGGAUUCCCCUAGUAACUGCGAGUGAAGCGGGAAAAGCUCAAAUUUAAAAUCUGNCANCCUUUGGUUGUCCGAGUUGUAAUCUAGAGAAGUGUUAUCCGCGCUGGACCGUGUACAAGUCUCCUGGAAUGGAGCGUCAUAGAGGGUGAGAAUCCCGUCCUUGACACGGACUGCCAGGGCUUUGUGAUGCGCUCUCAAAGAGUCGAGUUGUUUGGGAAUGCAGCUCAAAAUGGGUGGUAAAUUCCAUCUAAAGCUAAAUAUUGGCGAGAGACCGAUAGCGAACAAGUACCGUGAGGGAAAGAUGAAAAGAACUUUGGAAAGAGAGUUAAACAGUACGUGAAAUUGCUGAAAGGGAAACGCUUGAAGUCAGUCGCGUUGUCCAGGGAUCAACCUUGCUUUUGCUUGGUGCACUUUCUGGUUGACGGGUCAGCAUCAAUUUUGACCAUUGGAAAAAGAUCAUGGGGAAUGUGGCAUCUUUUGGAUGUGUUAUAGCCCUUGGUUGCAUACAAUGGUUGGGAUUGAGGAACUCAGCACGCCGCAAGGCCGGGUUUUUAACCACGUACGUGCUUAGGAUGCUGGCAUAAUGGCUUUAAUCGACC
RNAcentral lists this ribosomal RNA (624 nucleotides) under uncultured fungus. RNAcentral's name for it is "eukaryotic LSU rRNA". It matches the Rfam family "Eukaryotic large subunit ribosomal RNA", at positions 44 to 649 of the family's 3401-position model. Lineage: Eukaryota; Fungi. The record is from RNAcentral.